AGAAGAACGAACAUGGCGGCCGGAUGACGAACUUUCUCAAAUCACAGAGUCUCACCUGAGUCCGCAGCCAGCGUCCCGACAUCACGUCCCCCGGGGCCUCAGAGCUGCUGAGAGGGUCAAACAGUCAGACGGCCGUCAGUCGUACAGCAGGAUGAACGGGUUAGCACGACGACAGAGAUGUCUCUCCCAUCGCGUUGCCAUUCCUCUGACUCCUCUCAGCCUCACACAUCUUCUGAAGGGUGAACCGGUGGAGCCACAGAGACCUGAUGGGUGUUUUCACUCCUCUUUCCUUUAAUGAGAUUAUUGUGAGGUGCACUGAAAAAAGCUCAAAGGCCUGGAGAAGUCUGGAGAUGCAGGGAAUCUGUGACUGUGUUGAAGGACAAUUAAACCUCUUACAACAGACAGGAAUAGAAGGAGGAGGAGCAGCAGCAGAGUGAUUUAGUAAUCCGGACAGGGUCCUGAUAAACUGUCACAACAGAACAAAGGACUGGAGAUUAAUCAGCAGCUGCAGCAGAGAAGAAGCUGC
Molecule: long non-coding RNA, 526 nt
Organism: Centropristis striata (black sea bass)
Lineage: Eukaryota; Metazoa; Chordata; Actinopteri; Perciformes; Serranidae
Exons: 3
Source: RefSeq, a predicted model, not a curated record